CAGCCAGACUCCUACGGGAGGCAGCAGUGAGGAAUAUUGGUCAAUGGGCGGGAGCCUGAACCAGCCAAGUCGCGUGAGGGAAGACGGUCCUACGGAUUGUAAACCUCUUUUGCCGGGGAGCAACGGGGUCCUUGCGAGGGCCCAAUGAGAGUACCCGGAGAAAAAGCAUCGGCUAACUCCGUGCCAGCAGCCGCGGUAAUACGGAGGAUGCGAGCGUUAUCCGGAUUUAUUGGGUUUAAAGGGUGCGCAGGCGGCCUGUUAAGUCGGGGGAAAAGGCGGGGGCCUCACCCCGGGCGAGCCGUUGAAACUGGCGGGCUGGAGUUGGAGAGAAGUACGCGGAAUGCGCGGUGUAGCGGUGAAAUGCAUAGAUAUCGCGCAGAACUCCGAUUGCGAAGGCAGCAUGCCGGCUCCACACUGACGCUGAGGCACGAAAGCGUGGGUAUCGAACAGGAUUAGAUACCCUGGUA
RNAcentral lists this ribosomal RNA (467 nucleotides) under uncultured bacterium. RNAcentral's name for it is "bacterial SSU rRNA". It matches the Rfam family "Bacterial small subunit ribosomal RNA", at positions 328 to 792 of the family's 1533-position model. The record is from RNAcentral.